Molecule: ribosomal RNA, 697 nt
Filed under: uncultured bacterium
Lineage: Bacteria
Description: bacterial SSU rRNA
Rfam family: Bacterial small subunit ribosomal RNA
Source: RNAcentral
ACCGGCGCACGGGUGAGUAACACGUAUGCAACCUGCCCGUCUCAGGGGGAUAAUCGUCGGAAACGGCGUCUAAUACCCCGUAUGAAGCUGGAUGGCAUCGUCUGGUUUUGAAAGAAUAUCGGAGACGGAUGGGCAUGCGGCGCAUUAGCUAGUUGGCGGGGUAACGGCCCACCAAGGCGACGAUGCGUAGGGGUUCUGAGAGGAAGGUCCCCCACACUGGUACUGAGACACGGACCAGACUCCUACGGGAGGCAGCAGUGAGGAAUAUUGGUCAAUGGCCGGGAGGCUGAACCAGCCAAGUCGCGUGAGGGAAGACGGCCCUACGGGUUGUAAACCUCUUUUGUCAGGGAGCAAGGGGCGGGUCGAGACCUGCUGUGAGAGUACCUGAAGAAAAAGCAUCGGCUAACUCCGUGCCAGCAGCCGCGGUAAUACGGAGGAUGCGAGCGUUAUCCGGAUUUAUUGGGUUUAAAGGGUGCGCAGGCGGAGGCACAAGUCAGCGGUAAAAUCGCGGGGCUCAACCCCGCUCCGCCGUUGAAACUGUGUCCCUUGAGUGCGCGAAGGGUAGGCGGAAUGCGUGGUGUAGCGGUGAAAUGCAUAGAUAUCACGCANAACUCCGAUCGCGAANGCAGCCUACCGGCGCGCGACUGACGCUCAUGCACGAAAGCGUGGGUAUCGAACAGGAUUAGAUACCCUGGUA